Molecule: non-coding RNA, 128 nt
Filed under: Jannaschia sp. CCS1
Lineage: Bacteria; Pseudomonadati; Pseudomonadota; Alphaproteobacteria; Rhodobacterales; Roseobacteraceae
Description: Ruegeria cis8 sRNA
Rfam family: Ruegeria cis8 sRNA
About the family: Cis-encoded. Targets hypothetical protein.
Source: Rfam by way of RNAcentral
AUGGCGAGGAUCUUGGCGAUAUAGGGGAUCAGCGGCAGGUUCAGGACCAGCAACACCAGAUUGCCGAUGUACAUGGAGAUGAUCACGGCCCAGAACACCUGCGGUUCAUCCACCAUCAGACGCGGUCC